This 1388-nucleotide long non-coding RNA is filed under the name Fragaria vesca (wild strawberry). Its description in RNAcentral is "long non-coding RNA (FVES_LNC004719)". The record is from RNAcentral. Lineage: Eukaryota; Viridiplantae; Streptophyta; Magnoliopsida; Rosales; Rosaceae.
UUAAAACAAAAAUCAUUUUUCCUUUAAGGACAACUUCACAUCUAACCAUAACAAAAUUAUAAAAUAAAUUUGGUUCCUUAAGAACCCAUGUGAUAUUUACUCACAAUAUUAAAAAUAGCAUCAUAAUCAUCAAUCAAAACUAUUACCAUCGUCAUCAUAAUAAUUAUCAUCAUAAUCAUCAUAUCAUCAACAUUUCCAUCAACAUUUUCAUCAUCAUCAUUAAUCUCAUCAUCAUCAUACAAUUAUCAUCAUCAUCAUCAUAUCAAAAUCAACAUCACAAUCAUCAUCAUAAUCAUCUUCAAAAUCGACAUCAUAAUAAUUAUAAAUGCUUGGUCCGAAAGUGGACCUUAGUGAGAUGUUACUCACCUAAAAUCCAGCUGCGUCUUCGCACGCACAACACAAGCAUAUAACACAAAACCACGCCACAAGUCACCUAUUAACAAAAACGUUAACCUUAGUAACUAUGAAAAACAACAUUAUCCGACUCGAACCGAAACUCAAGUCCUAACCCACGAGCUUGCCACUUGAGACAAAACUUCCUCCUUGACCUCUAAAAGGUCGCCGAAACGUCCAACACAUCCUAUAUAACUACUAACCAGAUUCUCAUGUUUGGAUUACUCAAAAAAUGAAACGAACGAAACUUAACACCACGGGGAAACCCUAGCAUGCAAUAAUGAUAACCAAAACCUACAACCCACAUAUCAACACGCUCGUAUCAAAGAGUACUAUCUAACCAGCACCACAAAACACCCUAGACACUACCGGAUGUGCCGCCACGCGCCACCACAGGCGGCGGCGAGUGGGCCCCACGCGCCACCACGAAACAUCCGAAUUUGGGCAAACUCAAAACAUCAAAUUUGUAAAUUGAGGAGAGAGGAGCAUCUUUUAUACCUGAAGGUUCAACUUGACACGACCCACCCCGAAUUUCACCCUGAAACCCAGAGUAAGUCGUGCGGGGACCACCUCCAAGGAAAAUUUACUGAAAAGAUUAAGAAAAUCUCCCUUGCAGAUGGACAACCCUAAUUCGAAAAUUUCAUAUUACACUUCUGAACUUCACAUAAUAUACAAAAAUUCUAAAGUAUUCAGAGCUACUAAACACAAGCGGAAGCAAGAAAACACGAGUAGGUUGAACAGGUAACCUACUGGCGAAAACUGGCAGAAAUGCGGGUGACUAUGCCUCGUCUCCUACUAGAUCCAACCCGAACUCUGCAGACUGGGCAAUUUAAAACGAAGGGCCCAGGGGAAAACAUUUAAUAACGUCAGAGUGAGUGGACAAAAAUAAAUUAAUAAUUAAAAUAUUUAUGUUUCCCCAAAUUAAUUUCUAAGGAAAAAUCGAUUGCAUGCCGCAAGCGAUAAAACCUUUAUCCCAUAAAAUAUCGAGCCUCUCA